This 251-nucleotide ribosomal RNA is filed under the name uncultured prokaryote. RNAcentral's name for it is "partial 16S rRNA". It matches the Rfam family "Bacterial small subunit ribosomal RNA", at positions 525 to 775 of the family's 1533-position model. The record is from RNAcentral.
ACGUAGGAGGCGAACGUUAUCCGGAUUUACUGGGCGUAAAGCGCGUGUAGGUGGUUCUGUAAGUAGGGCGUGAAAGCUCCUGGCUCAACUGGGAGAGGCCGUUCUAAACUACAGAACUAGAGGGUGGUAGAGGGAGGUGAAAUUGCAGGUGUAGCGGCGGAAUUCGCAGAUAUCUGGAGGAACACCAGUGUCUAAGGCGGCCUCCUGGACCAUUCCUGACACUCAGACGCGAAAGCUAGUGUAGCAAAAGG